UCCCUAGUACUGCGAGUGAAGAGGGAAAAGCUCAAAUUUGAAAUCUGGCGGGUCUUGCAUCUGCUCGAGUUGUAGUUUAGAGAAGUGCUAUCCGCGCUGGCCUGUGCAUAAGUUUCUUGGAACAGAACAUCAUAGAGGGUGAUAAUCCCGUCUUUGGCACAGAUAACCAGGGUUUUUGUGAUGCACCCUCGAAGAGUCGAGUUGUUUGGGAAUGCAGCUCUAAAUGGGUGGUAAAUUCCAUCUAAAGCUAAAUAUUGGCGAGAGACCGAUAGCGAACAAGUACCGCGAGGGAAAGAUGAAAAGAACUUUGAAAAGAGAGUUAAACAGUACGUGAAAUUGUUGAAAGGGAAACGCUUGAAGUCAGAUACAUCUUGCAGAGAUCAACUUGGCCAUGGGUUGAGUGUAUUUUCUGUUGAGAUGGGUCAGCAUCAAUUUUGAUCGCUGGAUAAAGCCCAUGGGAAAGUGGCA
This 468-nucleotide ribosomal RNA is filed under the name Clavulina sp. Its description in RNAcentral is "eukaryotic LSU rRNA". It matches the Rfam family "Eukaryotic large subunit ribosomal RNA", at positions 77 to 541 of the family's 3401-position model. The record is from RNAcentral. Lineage: Eukaryota; Fungi; Basidiomycota; Agaricomycetes; Cantharellales; Hydnaceae.